CCUACGGGAGGCAGCAGUGGGGGAUAUUGCACAAUGGGGGGAACCCUGAUGCAGCGACGCCGCGUGGGUGAAGGAGCGUUUCGGCGCGUAAAGCCCUAUCGGCAGGGAAGAAGGAGGACGGUACCUGACUAAGAAGCCCCGGCAAACUACGUGCCAGCAGCCGCGGUAACACGUAGGGGGCAAGCGUUAUCCGGAUUUACUGGGUGUAAAGGGGGCGCAGACGGCAGCGCAAGCCAGGAGUGAAAGCCCGGGGCCCAACCCCGGGACUGCUCUUGGAACUGCGCGGCUGGAGUGCAGGAGGGGCAGGCGGAAUUCCUGGUGUAGCGGUGAAAUGCGUAGAUAUCAGGAGGAACACCGGUGGCGAAGGCGGACUGCUGGACUGCGACUGACGUUGAGGCCCGAAAGCGUGGGGAGCAAACAGGAUGAGAUACCCUAGUAGUC
Molecule: ribosomal RNA, 441 nt
Filed under: uncultured bacterium
Lineage: Bacteria
Description: partial 16S ribosomal RNA
Rfam family: Bacterial small subunit ribosomal RNA
Source: RNAcentral